UACGUAGGUGGCAAGCGUUGUCCGGAUUUAUUGGGUUUAAAGGGUGCGUAGGCGGCCCUGUAAGUCAGUGCUGAAAUACCCCGGCUUAACCGGGGGGGUGGCAUUGAUACUGCAGGGCUUGAGUACAGAUGAGGUAGGCGGAAUUGACGGUGUAGCGGUGAAAUGCAUAGAUAUCGUCAAGAACACCGAUAGCGAAGGCAGCUUACUAGACUGUAACUGACGCUGAUGCACGAAAGUGUGGGGAUCAAACAGG
RNAcentral lists this ribosomal RNA (253 nucleotides) under uncultured bacterium. RNAcentral's name for it is "partial 16S ribosomal RNA". It matches the Rfam family "Bacterial small subunit ribosomal RNA", at positions 524 to 776 of the family's 1533-position model. The record is from RNAcentral.